AGAGUUUGAUCCUGGCUCAGGAUGAACGUUGGCGGCGUGGAUUAGGCAUGCAAGUCGAACGAGUCUCUGGGGGGUAACUCCUAGAGGAAAGUGGCGAAAGGGGCAGUAAUGUAUGGGUAACCUACCUUGAGGUCUGGGAUAGCUAUUCUAACGGAUAGGUAAUACUGGACGGCCUAAGUUGUCGGCAUCGACGAUUUAGUAAAGGUUACGCCUCGAGAGGGGCCCAUAUGAUAUUAGCUAGUUGGUGGGGUAAUGGCCCACCAAGGCAAAGAUGUCUAGCGGGUGUGAGAGCACGACCCGCGUCAUUGGCACUGAGACACUGGCCAAACUCCUACGGGAGGCUGCAGUCGAGGAUCUUCGGCAAUGGACGAAAGUCUGACCGAGCAACGCCGCGUGUGCGAUGAAGGCCUUCGGGUUGUAAAGCACUGUCGAGGGGAAACAAGCCGUAAGGUUGAGUGACCCCUGGAGGAAGCACGGGCUAAGUUCGUGCCAGCAGCCGCGGUAAGACGAACCGUGCAAACGUUAUUCGGAAUCACUGGGCUUAAAGGGCGCGUAGGCGGGUGAUCAAGUCAAUGGUGAAAUCCUCCAGCUUAACUGGAGAAGUGCCUUUGAUACUGAUUGUCUAGAGGGAGGUAGGGGCAUGUGGAACUUCAGGUGGAGCGGUGAAAUGCGUAGAUAUCUGAAGGAACGCCAGUGGCGAAAGCGAUGUGCUGGACCUCUUCUGACGCUGAGGCGCGAAAGCUAGGGGAUCAAACGGGAUUAGAUACCCUGGUAGUCC
RNAcentral lists this ribosomal RNA (778 nucleotides) under uncultured bacterium. RNAcentral's name for it is "bacterial SSU rRNA". It matches the Rfam family "Bacterial small subunit ribosomal RNA", at positions 8 to 796 of the family's 1533-position model. The record is from RNAcentral.